Molecule: ribosomal RNA, 841 nt
Filed under: uncultured bacterium
Lineage: Bacteria
Description: bacterial SSU rRNA
Rfam family: Bacterial small subunit ribosomal RNA
Source: RNAcentral
AACACAUGCAAGUCGAGGGGCAGCGGGAUUGAAGCUUGCUUCAAUUGCCGGCGACCGGCGCACGGGUGAGUAACGCGUAUCCAACCUUCCGUACACUCAGGGAUAGCCUUUCGAAAGAAAGAUUAAUACCUGAUGGUAUGAUGAGAUUGCAUGAUAGCAUCAUUAAAGAUUUAUCGGUGUACGAUGGGGAUGCGUUCCAUUAGGUAGUAGGCGGGGUAACGGCCCACCUAGCCAACGAUGGAUAGGGGUUCUGAGAGGAAGGUCCCCCACAUUGGAACUGAGACACGGUCCAAACUCCUACGGGAGGCAGCAGUGAGGAAUAUUGGUCAAUGGACGAGAGUCUGAACCAGCCAAGUAGCGUGAAGGAUGAAGGUCCUACGGAUUGUAAACUUCUUUUAUAAGGGAAUAAACCCUCCCACGUGUGGGAGCUUGUAUGUACCUUAUGAAUAAGCAUCGGCUAACUCCGUGCCAGCAGCCGCGGUAAUACGGAGGAUGCGAGCGUUAUCCGGAUUUAUUGGGUUUAAAGGGAGCGCAGACGGGUCGUUAAGUCAGCUGUGAAAGUUUGGGGCUCAACCUUAAAAUUGCAGUUGAUACUGGCGUCCUUGAGUGCGGUUGAGGUGUGCGGAAUUCGUGGUGUAGCGGUGAAAUGCUUAGAUAUCACGAAGAACUCCGAUUGCGAAGGCAGCACACUAAUCCGUAACUGACGUUCAUGCUCGAAAGUGUGGGUAUCAAACAGGAUUAGAUACCCUGGUAGUCCACACGGUAAACGAUGGAUACUCGCUGUUGGCGAUAUACUGUCAGCGGCUUAGCGAAAGCGUUAAGUAUCCCACCUGGGGAGUAC